Pieris napi is the source of this 854-nucleotide long non-coding RNA. RefSeq lists it as uncharacterized. The record is from RefSeq and is a predicted model, not a curated record. NCBI's taxonomy places the organism in Eukaryota, Metazoa, Arthropoda, Insecta, Lepidoptera, Pieridae. The transcript has 2 exons.
UAUAAUGUGUUUUUUAUGAAAUAGUUAACUGGAAAAAAAAUAUAAUCAACAAAUUAAAGAUUUAAGAUUUUAACUAUCUUUCUUAUUCUGUACUGAAGUAUAAUAUAUAUAAGGUACUUAUAUCAUGUCAACAUGGCACUUAUUAUACAUCCAUGCAGUCUGUGCUCUGUUCACGUAGUUUUUAAAAGGGCCGUAGACUCCUACAUCUCCUACAGGUUGCAAAUUGUGGGAGCAAUUGGAGGGAAACUAUAACAUGACAACAUUGUUUUCUUUGGCUUUUUCGACAACUGGAAUAUUCACAUGUGAGCCAUGGUUAUCAAGCAGUAACAGAACUGUCUCUUUCUUGGUAGGUUUCGCGUCUUUGAUAAAAUGAUCUACAAAAAUCAAACAUUCUUUAUCAGUCAUCCACCCUGAAGAAUUACCAGCUCCAAUGCAAUCUUGAGGUCCACCGCGAAUGAACAUUUCUGAGUAUUUAAGCCGGGGAAAAAUGAACAUCGGCUGUCAGUAACUUACAGCAAUCUGGGGGCAAAUUGUAACAUGUUACAACAAACCCCGAGGUUUUGUUACAACUAGCCCCUUGAUAUAGUUCUUAAUAUUUAUCACGAUAACUAUUAAAUCAACUUAGUAAUCUUGAAAACUGUUAUACAACAUCAUAAAUAGUUAUAUUUUAGCAUAAAAUAAAAUACAUAAAACUUCAAAGCUACGAAAAUAGUGAAACUAACCAAAAAUUUACGUUAGUAAAAUUAUAGGUUACCUGUCAACAAUAAAGCAUUUGCACACACCCACUCACUGAGCCGCCUGGCGGGACCCUGGCUGUGGUAAAGUGGCGUGGCACGUUAUAAGUUUAAGAUUAG